CCUAGGGGACGGCCUCUAGGACGACUUCCAGGACGACUUCGAGGACGACCUCA
Molecule: non-coding RNA, 53 nt
Organism: Ixodes scapularis (black-legged tick)
Lineage: Eukaryota; Metazoa; Arthropoda; Arachnida; Ixodida; Ixodidae
Source: Rfam